UCUUUAUUGGGUUUUAAACUAAAAUUGAAAUGCUUUGGAGGAAUUUGAAUAAUGUAUUAAUGAGUUGUAAUCAAACUAGCAUUUGCUCAGGUUUCAUUGCUUGUGUGAAGGGUUUUUCCUAUAACUUGAAAUUUAAAAACUAUUAUUUCCUGUUCCUUUUUUUGGUCAGGUGGUCUAAAUUUGUAACAUUUUAGCAUUGCAUCAAUGAUGAUGACUACCAGAUAAUGUGAGAUUGGAGAAGAGAAAAGUAAUGACUAAAUUGUGGAUUUCAGUGCUUUAUAGGUGCCUUUAGAGUCAGCUUUUGCAUUAUAGGGGCUUGUUACAGUCCAGCUAAGGUGACCACUUACAGUUUAUACAGAUCUCAUAUGUAUAAAUCAACAUUCUUAGGAUAUUAUAUAUCCUUUGAAUAAAUCCCUGUGAACUCUUCCUCCCUCCUAAAAUGGUGCAUAAUAUAAACAUGAUGUGUAGUAUGCAGAUAUCAUUUAUUAGGUAGUUUGUAGUAUAUAAAAUUAGAACAUACUUCUUUUUCAACAAAGGGUUAACUGUUUGCUAAUUUACCAUUUUAUUCUGUCAGGUACAGGCAAAACAAAUUUUCAUUUUGGAUGAUCAUAUACACAACUUUCGGAACUUAGAACAGUUAAAAAUAAUAUAAAUGGCCAUUUCACUCUUGACUGGCCAAAAAUAAGUAAUACACUUUUUUCUUAAGUGAUUUUUCACACUUAGCAAUUUGAGAGACUAGUUUGUUAAUGCACUAUUUCUAGCGAGCAAUUCUUGUUAUUAGGAGCAUGAGAGUGAAAUAGUGUGAAGUGUUGGUGGUGAGUGCUUCUAUCAUAUUACUGUAGGUACUUGGACUGGUGCAAACUUGAUUCCUUUUCAUGCCCCUGUUUGGGAGCUGUUAAAAUAUUACUGUUAAAAAUCCAAACCAUUCUUUGCCAUGUAAUUAGAAAGUAGCCAAAUUUACUUUAGAGCUUCUCAGCUGUUUAUGAAGAGCUCUUCUGCUUUUAUUGAAAUUCAUUAGCAUCAAAUGUAGUGAGAAACCACCUAGCCUGUGUUUUGGACAAAAAAAAAAAUCAGUAUGAUAAAAUUCCAUAUGUUAAGAGAAUUCUAUAGGCUUUAAAAAAUGAUUUAAGUUAGGUUUAAUAAACAUGUUAUGCAGGGAGGCAGAUCAGAUGAAUGUCUUGUAGCAGACAAAAAUUUUUAAGUGGUGUUAGACUUGAAUUCAUCAGUUAAUUGUUUGAACGAGGGUGGGUGGGUAGAAGGAAAACAAAAUUACUGUUAGUGUUUCUUAAGGAAAAAGAUGUGAAUCCCAGCCUUAUUUCAGGGAAACCUUUGAAGCUAUGAUGGACAUAAGUCUAAAUGUAUGUAUGUUUCAUUAUAUUGCUCUUAAGACUACUGAGGUGGCAGUUUUAAUUCUUAAAAACAAUAAAAUGGAAGCAUAAAUACUAUUUGCCUAGAUGAAUUUUUACGUAAUGAUGAU
Molecule: long non-coding RNA, 1477 nt
Filed under: Heterocephalus glaber (naked mole-rat)
Lineage: Eukaryota; Metazoa; Chordata; Mammalia; Rodentia; Bathyergidae
Description: lncRNA (ENSHGLG00000049446.1)
Source: RNAcentral